GUAGUCCACGCCCUAAACGAUGCACAUUUGGUGUGGGUCAUUCAGUUGAUCCGUGCCGGAGCUAACGCGUUAAAUGUGCCGCCUGGGGAGUACAGUCGCAAGGCUGAAACUCAAAGGAAUUGACGGGGGCCCGCACAAGCGGUGGAGCAUGUGGUUCAAUUCGACGCAACGCGAAGAACCUUACCUGGGCUCGAAGCGUCGGUCAACGGCGGUGGAAACAUCGCUAUCCCGCAAGGGAGUCCGGCGGAGGUGCUGCAUGGCUGUCGUCAGCUCGUGUCGUGAGAUGUUGGGUUAAGUCCCGCAACGAGCGCAACCCUCGUCCUGUGUUGCCAUGCCGAAAGGCGGAACUCGCAGGAGACCGCCAGCGAUAAGCUGGA
Molecule: ribosomal RNA, 377 nt
Filed under: uncultured bacterium
Lineage: Bacteria
Description: bacterial SSU rRNA
Rfam family: Bacterial small subunit ribosomal RNA
Source: RNAcentral